GGGAUUGCCCUAGUAACGGCGAGUGAAGCGGCAACAGCUCAAAUUUGAAAUCUGGCGCAAGCCCGAGUUGUAAUUUGUAGAGGAUGCUUCUGGGCAGCGACCGGUCUAAGUUCCUUGGAACAGGACGUCAUAGAGGGUGAGAAUCCCGUAUGUGACCGGCCCGCGCCCUGCACGUAGCUCCUUCGACGAGUCGAGUUGUUUGGGAAUGCAGCUCUAAAUGGGAGGUAAAUUUCUUCUAAAGCUAAAUACCGGCCAGAGACCGAUAGCGCACAAGUAGAGUGAUCGAAAGAUGAAAAGCACUUUGGAAAGAGAGUUAAACAGCACGUGAAAUUGUUGAAAGGGAAGCGCCUGCAACCAGACUUCGCGGCAGUGUUCCGCCGGUCUUCUGACCGGUCCACUCUCUGCCGCGAGGCCAUCAUCGUCUGGGCCCGCCGGAUAAGACCGUGGGAAUGUGGCUCGCCUUCGGGCGAGUGUUAUAGCCCACGGUGAUGCGGCGCGGCUCGGGCGAGGUCCGCGCUUCGGCAAGGAUGAUGGCGUAAUGGUUGUCGGCGGCCCGUCUUGAAACACGGACCAAGGAGUCUAACAUCUAUGCGAGUGUUCGGGUGUCAAACCCCUACGCGUAAUGAAAGUGAACGGAGGUGGGAACCGCAAGGUGCACCAUCGACCGAUCCUGAUGUCCUCGGAUGGAUUUGAGUAAGAGCAUAGCUGUUGGGACCCGAAAGAUGGUGAACUAUGCCUGAAUAGGGUGAAGCCAGAGGAAACUCUGGUGGAGGCUCGCAGCGGUUCUGACGUGCAAAUCGAUCGUCAAAUUUGGGUAUAGGGGCG
This 825-nucleotide ribosomal RNA is filed under the name Fusoidiella depressa. RNAcentral's name for it is "eukaryotic LSU rRNA". It matches the Rfam family "Eukaryotic large subunit ribosomal RNA", at positions 71 to 925 of the family's 3401-position model. Lineage: Eukaryota; Fungi; Ascomycota; Dothideomycetes; Mycosphaerellales; Mycosphaerellaceae. The record is from RNAcentral.